This 497-nucleotide ribosomal RNA is filed under the name uncultured bacterium. RNAcentral's name for it is "partial 16S ribosomal RNA". It matches the Rfam family "Bacterial small subunit ribosomal RNA", at positions 28 to 507 of the family's 1533-position model. The record is from RNAcentral.
GAUGAACGCUGGCGGCGUGCCUAAUACAUGCAAGUCGAGCGAACAGAUGAGGAGCUUGCUCCUCUGACGUUAGCGGCGGACGGGUGAGUAACACGUGGAUAACCUACCUAUAAGACUGGGAUAACUUCGGGAAACCGGAGCUAAUACCGGAUAAUAUAUUGAACCGCAUGGUUCAAUAGUGAAAGACGGUUUUGCUGUCACUUAUAGAUGGAUCCGCGCCGCAUUAGCUAGUUGGUAAGGUAACGGCUUACCAAGGCAACGAUGCGUAGCCGACCUGAGAGGGUGAUCGGCCACAAUGGAAAUGAGACACGGUCCAGACUCCUACGGGAGGCAGCAGUAGGGAAUCUUCCGCAAUGGGCGAAAGCCUGACGGAGCAACGCCGCGUGAGUGAUGAAGGUCUUCGGAUCGUAAAACUCUGUUAUUAGGGAAGAACAAAUGUGUAAGUAACUAUGCACGUCUUGACGGUACCUAAUCAGAAAGCCACGGCUAACUACGUG